RNAcentral lists this ribosomal RNA (28 nucleotides) under Pythium aphanidermatum. Its description in RNAcentral is "partial 18S ribosomal RNA". Lineage: Eukaryota; Oomycota; Peronosporomycetes; Pythiales; Pythiaceae. The record is from RNAcentral.
UCCGUAGGUGACCUGCGGAGGCACAUUA